This 750-nucleotide ribosomal RNA is filed under the name uncultured bacterium. RNAcentral's name for it is "bacterial SSU rRNA". It matches the Rfam family "Bacterial small subunit ribosomal RNA", at positions 43 to 784 of the family's 1533-position model. The record is from RNAcentral.
CAGGCCUAACACAUGCAAGUCGAGCGGUAACAGGGAUAGCUUGCUAUCUGCUGACGAGCGGCGGACGGGUGCGUAACGCGUAGGAAUUUGCCCGAUAGUGGGGGACAGCCCGGAGAAAUUCGGAUUAAUACCGCAUACCUUCUAAGGAAGAAAGCAGGGGAUCUUCGGACCUUGCGCUAUCGGAUGAGCCUGCGUCGGAUUAGCUAGUUGGUAGGGUAAAUGCCUACCAAGGCGACGAUCCGUAGCUGGUCUGAGAGGAUGAUCAGCCACACUGGGACUGAGACACGGCCCAGACUCCUACGGGAGGCAGCAGUGGGGAAUAUUGCACAAUGGGCGCAAGCCUGAUGCAGCCAUGCCGCGUGUGUGAAGAAGGCCCUAGGGUUGUAAAGCACUUUCAGCGAGGAGGAAGGGUAUCUUGCUAAUAUCAAGGUACAUUGACGUUACUCGCAGAAGAAGCACCGGCUAACUCCGUGCCAGCAACCGCGGUAAUACGGAGGGUGCAAGCGUUAAUCGGAAUUACUGGGCGUAAAGCGUGCGUAGGCGGUUAAAUAAGUUGGAUGUGAAAGCCCUGGGCUCAACCUAGGAACUGCACCCAAAACUGUUUAACUAGAGUACGAGAGAGGAGUGUGGAAUUUCCUGUGUAGCGGUGGAAUGCGUAGAUAUAGGAAGGAACACCAGUGGCGAAGGCGGCACUCUGGCUCGAUACUGACGCUGAGGUACGAAAGCAUGGGUAGCAAACAGGAUUAGAUA